GGAGCCGCAAAGAACAGUGGGUCAAAGAUCACAAAGGCAAUGACAUGCAAAAAUUCCAUCCUAGAAUGGCUGUCCGUGACAACUCGGCCCAUAUUGAUGGAGUCCUGAGGGAACUUCUAGGGGAAAGGAUAUCACAUGAGACAGGAAGCAGAGGCCAGGUGAGAAAUUAGUGUCCCUGGGUUGAAACUGAACAAUCGGGCCGACAGCUGAAGAAUGCACAGUGAAAUGAAUCCUCAACUCCAACUUUUUACGGAGACCGGGCACAGAGAAGAGCUCUGACGAAGGAGUGACUGUGAGGACACAGUGGACGCUGACUCCCACCCGUGCAUCACUACAGCCACGGCUGCAAAGAUAUCCACAUCUUAAUCCCCAGGACCUGUGAAUACAUUAGGUCCCACAAGUUACAUGGCAAUGGAAAAUGAAGGUUGCAGGUGGAAUCAAGGUUGCUGAGCUGUUGACCUUAAAAUAGGGAGAGUAGCCUAGAUUAUACAGGUGGCCCAGUGGAACACUUUAAGGGUCCUUCAAGGUGGAAGAAGAUGCCAGAAGGGAGAAUCAGAGAGAUGGAAGCUUGAGAAGGAUUAAGACCAACAUUGCCGGCUUUGGAGGUGGAAGAGGGAAACCACAAGCCAAGAUAUGCAAGUAGCCUCCCGAUACUGGAAAAGACAAGGAAACAAAUUCUUCCCAGUGCUGCCAGGAGUAACACCCUCUGCUAACACCUUGAUUUCAGCCCAGUGAGAUCCAUUCUAGACUUCUGACCUCCAGAACUGUAAGAUAGUAAACUUGUAUGAGGUAAACCACUAAGUUUGGGGUAAUUUGUUACAGCAGCAAUAAGAAACUAAUACACUAUCGUUAUGCGUAUCCUAAUAUAAUGCAAUUUUUAUUUAUACGUCUAUCAUCCCCAUCAAUAAUAAUAAUAAUAAUAGCUAACAUUUGUUGAAUUUCCCCUUACUGUGAGCACUUAUUUUCUGGUAAGGCCAGCACCAAGUGUUUCAUUCACAUAAGACACUAAAAAAAAAGGUAACUUCAAUUGAACACACGAUGAAGGUAAACACAGGGACUUAAGAGUAGGGGAGGGAGUUAAAAGCAUCUUCGAGGAGAUAAAGACACAGGUGCUUUUUAAAGAUGAGUAGCAAUUAGCCUGGGAGAGAGGAAGAGCAUCCCCGGCAGGUGGAAGAACGUAAGCGGACACUCAGGGAAAUGAAACACAGGGCAUGUGCCGACAAGCACUCUGGCAGCUCCACAGCAGGCUGGUAAUAAUGUCUCUAGCCUGUCAGUCUCCUCGGAGGUCCAGGCCUCCUGCCUGCCUGAAAUCUCCACAGGAUGCCUCCUAGACAUCUCAAAUUUAGGAUGGCUGAUACAGAACUUGAUUUUCUCCAUCAGCAUAAUCCUCCUAGUCUUCCUGUCUCCCACAACAACGCCACCAUACACUCAGCUGUUCAAGCCAGAACCCCAGGAGUCACCCCUGAGUCCUUCCCCUUGCCUCAUUCCAAUGUAAUCUAUCACCAGAUCUCAUCAAUGCUAUCUCCAAGAUCUAAGUAGGCUCCGCCCACUUCUACCUCCAUUGCUGCUGUCCAGUUCUAAGCCACCAUCCUCUUUCCUCCUAAGUGGUCUUCCUGCUUCUACACUUUGCCCCCUAUGAUCCAUCCACUUUUCAUAAAAGCAGUCAAAGCAAUCUCAAAAAUGUCAAUCAGGCUGGCCAUGGUCACUCACCUGAGGUCAGGAGUUUCAGACCAUCCUGAUCAACAUGGCGAAACCCUGUCUCUACUAAAAAUAUAAAAAUUAGCCAGGUGUGGUGGCACAUGCCUAUCAUCCCAGCUACUCAGGAGGCUGAGGCACGGGAAUCACCUGAACCCAGGAGGCAGAGGUUGCAGUGAGCUGAGAUCGUGCCACUGCACUCCAGACUGGGCAACAGAGCUAGACUCU
Symphalangus syndactylus (siamang) is the source of this 1923-nucleotide long non-coding RNA. RefSeq lists it as uncharacterized. The record is from RefSeq and is a predicted model, not a curated record. NCBI's taxonomy places the organism in Eukaryota, Metazoa, Chordata, Mammalia, Primates, Hylobatidae.